GCGUCUUUAGCUCAGUGGACAGAGCGCCAUACUACGGAUAUGGAGGUCGUAGGUUCGAAUCCUACAAGGUGCU
This 73-nucleotide transfer RNA is filed under the name compost metagenome. RNAcentral describes it as "tRNA-Arg". It matches the Rfam family "tRNA". Rfam says of the family: Transfer RNA (tRNA) molecules are approximately 80 nucleotides in length. Their secondary structure includes four short double-helical elements and three loops (D, anti-codon, and T loops). The record is from RNAcentral.